RNAcentral lists this ribosomal RNA (459 nucleotides) under uncultured bacterium. RNAcentral describes it as "partial 16S ribosomal RNA". It matches the Rfam family "Bacterial small subunit ribosomal RNA", at positions 338 to 795 of the family's 1533-position model. The record is from RNAcentral.
CCUACGGGGGGCAGCAGUGAGGAAUAUUGGUCAAUGGGCGCGAGCCUGAACCAGCCAAGUCGCGUGAGGGAAGACGGUCCUAUGGAUUGUAAACCUCUUUUGUCGGGGAGCAAAAGACGCCACGCGUGGCGUUCCGAGAGUACCCGAAGAAAAAGCAUCGGCUAACUCCGUGCCAGCAGCCGCGGUAAUACGGAGGAUGCGAGCGUUAUCCGGAUUUAUUGGGUUUAAGGGGUGGGCAGGAGGAAGUUCAAGUCAGCGGUAAAAUUGGGGGGCUCAACCUCUACGAGCCGUUGAAACUGGUAUUCUUGAGUGAGUGAGAGGUAUGCGGAAUGCGUGGUGUAGCGGUGAAAUGCAUAGAUAUCACGCAGAACUCCGAUUGCGAAGGCAGCAUACUGGCGCUCAACUGACGCUGAUGCACGAAAGUGUGGGUAUCGAACAGGAUUAGAUACCCCAGUAGUC